GACGAACGCUGGCGGCGUGCUUAACACAUGCAAGUCGAACGGAAAGGCCCUGCUCUUGUGGGGUGCUCGAGUGGCGAACGGGGGAGUAACACGUGAGUAACCUGCCCCUGACUUUGGGAUAACUUCUGGAAACUGGGGCUAAUACCGGAUAGGAGCUCCUGCUCCGUAGUGGGGAUUGGAAAGAUUCGGCGGUUGUGGAUGGACUCGCGGCUUAUCAGCUUGUUGGUGGGGUAGUGGUAUACCAAGGCUUUGACGGGUAGCCGGCCUGAGAGGGUGACCGGCGACAAUGGGACUGAGGUACGGCGCAGUCUCCUACGUGAGGCAGUAGUGGGGAAUAUGGCGCAGCGGGCGGACGCGUGUGACAGCAACGCCGCGUGCGUGAUGACGGCUUUCGGGUUGUAAACCGCUGUGGCAGUAGACGAAGCGUGAGUGACGGUAAUUGGUAAAGAAGCAACGGCUAACUACGUG
Molecule: ribosomal RNA, 468 nt
Filed under: uncultured bacterium
Lineage: Bacteria
Description: partial 16S ribosomal RNA
Rfam family: Bacterial small subunit ribosomal RNA
Source: RNAcentral